Molecule: small nucleolar RNA, 71 nt
Organism: Eptesicus fuscus (big brown bat)
Lineage: Eukaryota; Metazoa; Chordata; Mammalia; Chiroptera; Vespertilionidae
Product: small nucleolar RNA U2-30
Exons: 1
Source: RefSeq, a predicted model, not a curated record
GAGCAAUGAUGAAAAAGGUUUGACUACUGACCUUUGUAAUUAUGAAGGUUUCUACACUUGAUCUGAGCUCA